This is a long non-coding RNA of Stomoxys calcitrans (stable fly), 1153 nucleotides long. RefSeq lists it as uncharacterized. Lineage: Eukaryota; Metazoa; Arthropoda; Insecta; Diptera; Muscidae. The record is from RefSeq and is a predicted model, not a curated record. The transcript has 2 exons.
UCCUAAUUGUAUUGUUCACUUCUAUUAUUUUGAUUGACGACUUUUUUGAAAUAUUCAUAAUAACACCAACACGUUCAACAUAGGUACCAAUAUUAUUGCUUAAUUAGUUUGGUACUGACCUACAAGAAAGGUAAAUAAGACAAUCAGAAUGCAAGAAAGUCCGCGUCAUGAAAUAAAAUCAAGAAGUAUUUAUAUUUGGCUGCGAUGCUCUUAUUUUGAUCGUAACUCCUCAUCAUUUGCGAUGUUUCUUUUCGGACAAACUUACAACUGAUCGCUUAUGCAAUUGACCUUGCCAAUGUUUUCCUAACAAAUUACUCGAAUGAAUUCAUUUUUCCAAAAACAAAUUAUAUUAUUUGGAAAUCUUUUUGCGAUAUUGUGAUAUUUUGGGGAAAUUGAUUUUUUGGACAAAAUUAAUUUACCUAAAAGCAAUUUGUUGUCAUCUCAAUAUUUAAACUUUUUGAAUGUCCUACGCAUGAAUGUCAUAGACAAACAAACACACACACACGCACAAACCAACUGUAACAGACGGACAAGAAAAGCACGCACAAAAACAUAUUUAAGUGGAGAAUGAGAGUGAGUGAGUGUUCACGGAUCAUGGUAAACAUCAAAAUUGUUAAAUGCUGACUGAAGCAACGAACCAUCGUGGCAGACGCCGUCGUUGUUGUCCUCGUCGACAUUUUCGUCAACAUCAUCAUCAUCGUCAUCGUCAACGCAAUCAAAAACAGCAAUAGUACCAACACCACACCAUCAGCCAGCAAAAGCAAGAACAACAAAAACAUCUGUGGCAACAGCACAACUUUUUUUUGCAAAGAAGACAACGGAAAUGGACGAUGGCUGUUAAGAUGAGGGGGUGCUGGGCUGGUUAAGGUGGGGGUGGGAAAAACGACAGAAAACGGGCCAACAAAUCUUGGAUGCGGUGUUGUUGCUGUUAUUGUUGCCGCCUGUAACUGUGAAUGUGGUUGCGCUUGCCGUAUUUGUUAUUUUGUGUUGUUGUUUUAUUUUUUCUUACAUUUUUUCAAGACCAUAAGAAACUGUUAUACCUGGUGCUUGUGUCCGUGUGUGUGUGUGUUAAAUAAAAAGUAAAAGUAAUUCCACAAAUAAACACACGCACACAUGUACAUACAUUGAUGCGUGUGUGCACCUACCCAAAGUA